This 732-nucleotide long non-coding RNA is filed under the name Rattus norvegicus (Norway rat). RNAcentral describes it as "long non-coding RNA NONRATT019559". Lineage: Eukaryota; Metazoa; Chordata; Mammalia; Rodentia; Muridae. The record is from RNAcentral.
GCAAACGGACAUUUAUUCAGGAGGUACAAUUACUAGAGUCCUUAUAUAUCAAUAAUCAUUCCACAGUAUAAUCACAUGUACUCUUUUAAGUCUAUACCAAGUCAUGCUGAUGCUUUCCAGUAAGCCAUAACCUUAUCUUCUAUUAAGUUCUAUUCAUUUUAAUUGUAAACAAAGUACUUGAGCAAAAUGCCUUAAACUUUUACAACAGGAAGAUGAUCUUAAAAAGUGAGACCCUACAGAACAGGACUCCAUCCAUGUAGUAGAACAGUAAUGAUAAAGGAGCCAUAUCUAGACGGCACAGAUUCAUUCCUCAUAGUGCUUUCACAUCGGCGAUGCUUAAACAUGCUCUUUCAAAUGAUAACCUGCAAUUUUUUUUAAAGGUAAAGGGGACAGAAGGAGAAACACUAAUAAGAUUUUACAAUUGAAUUACUGGUAGGUCUUAUUUUUUAAAGAACAAGAAAAGGGAAUACAAAAGCCAGCAUGGUUUACAGAGAGAGCUCCAGGACAGCCAGAACUAUGUAGAGAUUCUCCAAAAAAAAAAAAAAAAGGACUGCCAAAUACUUCUUAAGCCCAUAAAAAGAUACUAAGGAGUAGAAUCAAUCGUUAAAUAGCUUCAGAUUAAAUGUACUUUCAAACAGAGUCCAGUAUAAUCAGAAAGUCCAUGGGCUAGUGCUUCUGAAGCUUGGGUGUCAGAAUGAGCCUCUGAAGACAAUAGAGGGUAGACACUGUCAU